UUUUUGCCCAGCUCACGAGACAAUAAAAUCGACCGCUAUAUUUUUCGCUGUUUGCAUUUCUCUGUUAAGCGCUAAGUAAAUUUUUGUUUGAAUAUUUUCGACUCAAAAUUUCACAUGGCACCGUCAAAAUCUACAAAACUUCAUAAAUCAGGCAAAUGUCAAUCAAAGAAAGUUUUACUCGGGGUUCAAGGAAGUGAUGUUAAAAUUUGGCACCUUGGCAACAGAAGGAAAAAAAGGUGUGGCUCAAGUCGCAAACAGAAAAGGAAAGGCUCAUCUUGUGCAGCAAAGAAAGCAAAACAUAGCUGUAACAAAAAGAAGGUGGCCUCCAAAUGUAAACGUGCCGGAAGCGCAAAACCAGCAAAACCGUCGUGUCCUGCUCCGGCUCCUCCGGGCCUGCUCGACAGGAUAAUGAGCAUGUUUGGCAUGUGCCCGCCUGCUAAAUGUUAAUGGUCAGAGAAGAUACUCAAGUAGUUCAGCAUCGACUAUGAAGACCAACUCAGCGCUAUGAAAAUAUGUUAAAUUCAUUGUCAUAAUAUUACCUUUAAAUAUUUCACAUUAGAACAUCUAAUGACAGAAGAAGAAUCACUACGACACAAAAUUGUCGAUAAGUUUGACAACUCAAAAUAAACAUCAAACAAGAAAAUUAAAACUAGUUUCGACGCGAUACAAACUGUUUGGAAUUAAUUUCAUUUAAAUAAAUGACUCAAAACUACGUCAUGAUUGCAAAUGAAGGCUUCAAAAGAACCAUGUCGGCUAUGAGCAUACCUAUGUGUCAAUGCUUUGAAAAGAAACUCACCUGAAUGACUUCCUUAAUUGAUCGAAUGAGUUUUAUACAAAGGCGUGUUUUACACGUUGACUGUUGAGUUAUGCCAAUAAAAUGUGCACCUUGCGGCAGCCGAUAGCUGCAUGCAAACAGGCUACAUUGCAUCUGGCAAGCGUCAUCAAUAACAGACAUCAUUAAAUGUGCGAAUAUAAAUACACUGGUUGCCUUCAUGUA
Molecule: long non-coding RNA, 997 nt
Organism: Amphibalanus amphitrite
Lineage: Eukaryota; Metazoa; Arthropoda; Thecostraca; Balanomorpha; Balanidae
Exons: 2
Source: RefSeq, a predicted model, not a curated record